GCCUUGGUGGCUCAGCCUGGCUAGAGCGGUCCCCUCGUAAGGGACAGAUCCCGGGUUCAAAUCCCGGCCGGGGCU
Molecule: transfer RNA, 75 nt
Filed under: Candidatus Nanohaloarchaea archaeon
Lineage: Archaea; Methanobacteriati; Methanobacteriota; Candidatus Nanohaloarchaea
Description: tRNA-Thr
Rfam family: tRNA
About the family: Transfer RNA (tRNA) molecules are approximately 80 nucleotides in length. Their secondary structure includes four short double-helical elements and three loops (D, anti-codon, and T loops).
Source: RNAcentral